AUAAUUGCCUCGCAAAGGAGUGAAAAUGACUAAGUAGGUGUUAGGUAUUUUUCCCAGGGUGAGGCUUAUCCAUUAUACCUUGGAUGUGCUAAUUUCUUCUAUUUUCCCAACUGUGGGAAACUCAACUGCAUAGUAUUUGGUAAGUGGGGGAGUGCAUUUGUGCUCUCCUCUA
This is a small nuclear RNA of Sorex araneus (European shrew), 172 nucleotides long. Its record names the gene U1. It matches the Rfam family "U1 spliceosomal RNA". Rfam says of the family: U1 is a small nuclear RNA (snRNA) component of the spliceosome (involved in pre-mRNA splicing). Its 5' end forms complementary base pairs with the 5' splice junction, thus defining the 5' donor site of an intron. The record is from Ensembl. NCBI's taxonomy places the organism in Eukaryota, Metazoa, Chordata, Mammalia, Eulipotyphla, Soricidae.